GACGAACGCUGGCGGCGUGCUUAACACAUGCAAGUCGAACGGUGAAGCGCCUUCCUUUUUGGUGGGUGUGGAUGAGUGGCGAACGGGUGAGUAACACGUGAGUAACCUGCCCCCUUCUUCUGGAUAACCGCAUGAAAGUGUGGCUAAUACGGGAUAUUCUGGGUCUGUCGCAUGAUGGGUCUGGGAAAGAUAUUGUUUCGGUGGGGGAUGGGCUCGCGGCCUAUCAGCUUGUUGGUGGGGUGAUGGCCUACCAAGGCGGUGACGGGUAGCCGGCCUGAGAGGGUAGACGGUCACACUGGGACUGAGACACGGCCCAGACUCCUACGGGAGGCAGCAGUGGGCAAUAUUGCACAAUGGGGGCAAGCCUGAUGCGGCGAGGCCGCGUGAGGGAUGGAGGCCUUCGGGUUGUGAACCUCUUUCGCCAGUGAAGCAGGCCUGCCUCGUUUGUGGGUGGGUUGACGGUAGCUGGAUAAGAAGCGCCGGCUAACUACGUG
RNAcentral lists this ribosomal RNA (494 nucleotides) under uncultured bacterium. RNAcentral describes it as "partial 16S ribosomal RNA". It matches the Rfam family "Bacterial small subunit ribosomal RNA", at positions 28 to 507 of the family's 1533-position model. The record is from RNAcentral.